RNAcentral lists this ribosomal RNA (404 nucleotides) under uncultured bacterium. Its description in RNAcentral is "partial 16S ribosomal RNA". It matches the Rfam family "Bacterial small subunit ribosomal RNA", at positions 28 to 526 of the family's 1533-position model. The record is from RNAcentral.
GACGAACGCUGGCGGCGUGCUUAACACAUGCAAGUCGAGCGGAGCGGCGAACGGGUGAGUAACGCGUGAGUAACUGCCCCCCUCUCUGGGAUAACAGUUGGAAACGGCUGCUAAUACCGGAUAGUGGGGGAUGGCUCGCGGCCUAUCAGCUUGUUGGUGGGGUAGUGGCCUACCAAGGCGACGACGGGUAGCCGGCCUGAGAGGGCGACCGGCCACAUUGGGCUGAGAUACGGCCCAAACUCCUACGGGAGGCAGCAGUGGGGAAUAUUGCACAAUGGGGGAAACCCUGAUGCAGCAACGCGCGUGCGGGAUGACGGCCUUCGGGUUGUAAACCGCUUUCAGCCAUGACGCGGUAGUGGCAGAAGAAGCACCGGCUAACUACGUGCCAGCCGCCGCGGUAAUUC